CCCCCAACUUCGGUCCCGCUGCGCCCCUUUCCUGGACUCCGGACUCAUCUCUAUCAGGAAUCCCAACUGCAGGGAAGCGGAGGCGAGGCCUGGCGCGCGCUUCAGCACCGCGGACAACGACUCCCCUUCAUGCUUCAGCUUAGGCAUCUCCCAGCGCUCAGAGCUCAGCGCCGCCCGCCUGCCCGGGAGUCUUCGUUGACACUGGCGUCCCAACCCGAUUUGUCUCCCGCUAUAAAAUAAGCCGCCCUUCGAGAGGAGAGCUCCUGGUAGUCCUAUUUCUACUUUCCAAGUCGUGUGUGGAGCUAUCUACAGCUAGGCUGCUGUAGACCCGGACCACAAUUCUUGAUACUUGUCAACAUUUGACCUUUCCAUUUUCCUUGGGAGGUAGGCAGGCAGGCAGGAAGUAACAUUCCCUUUUACAGAUGAGAAAGGUGAGGCCAAGAGAACAAAAGUCACAUAGUUGGUACACUUCCAUUCCUGACUGAACUGGGGCAGGGCAUCUCCAAAUACAAAUGCUUCCCCCACCCAAUCUCAUUCAAAUAGCCAAGUGGGGAAGGGAUGGUUUCACUAAGGGUGAGAACCCAUUAAAGCUG
This 593-nucleotide long non-coding RNA is filed under the name Pan troglodytes (chimpanzee). RNAcentral's name for it is "long non-coding RNA NONPTRT001876". Lineage: Eukaryota; Metazoa; Chordata; Mammalia; Primates; Hominidae. The record is from RNAcentral.